AAAAUAAUCCUACCCUUUGUGAAUUUUGUUUGUUUGAAUAAUUUUUUUUUUUUAAAAAAUUAUUGGAGUCUUUCCCUUUAGAGUUUGCUUUUGAGUUUGUAAAAGAAUUCGAAACAUCUAAAGGGGAUGGUCAAUAAUUUUUUUUGAAAAAAGACAUUUUUUAAAAUUAAACUUUUUGUAUUCAUUUGUCUAAAAAUUAUUUUUAUAAUAUAAAAACAACUUUUGACAAUGGAUCUCUUGGUUCUCGCAACGAUGAAGAACGCAGCAAAAUGCGAUAAGUAGUGUGAAUUGCAGAAUACGUGAAUCAUCGAAUCUUUGAACGCAUAUUGCACUUUUUUAGUUUACUAAAAGAGUAUGUCUGUUUGAGUAUCAGUAAAAUAUUCUCAUAAAAAUCAUUGUGUAUUUUUAUGGUUAUGAGUGUUUUACAACGAUACAAGUUGUUUCACUUUAAAUUUUUUUUUUAAUAUUGAAAUUUUUUCUAAUUUUAAUAAUUAAAAUUGGAUAAAAUUUUCCCGUCAAAAGGAAUAACCUAAACAAUUUUAAAUGAUUAAUUUUAGCAAAAUUUUCGAAAAAAAGGAAAAUUUUUGUUAAAAUAACUUGAUCUCAAAUCAGAUAAGAGUACCCGCUGAACUUAAGCAUAUCAAUAAGCGGAGGAAAAGAAACUAACAAGGAUUCCCUUAGUAACGGCGAGUGAAGCGGGAAGAGCUCAAAUUUGAAAUCUUCAAGGUUUUACCUUGACGAAUUGUAGUUUAAAGAAGUGUUUUCUGCUGAAGUUUUGGUAAAAGUUCUUUGGAAUAGGACAUCAUAGAGGGUGAGAAUCCCGUAUUUGACCAUUAUUUUCAGCUUUGUGAUACACUUUCAAAGAGUCGGAUUGUUUGGGAAUGCAGUCCAAAAUGGGUGGUAAAUUUCAUCUAAAGCUAAAUAUUGGCGAGAGACCGAUAGCGAACAAGUACCGUGAGGGAAAGAUGAAAAGAACUUUGAAAAGAGAGUUAAACAGUACGUGAAAUUGUCAAAAGGGAAGCGUUUGACACCAGUGUUGUUUUCUCGAGAAUCAAUUAAAAAUGGCUCGAUUUUGUAUUGCUGAGGCCUUAAAAGCUCACUGUACAUUUUUCGUGUCUUUUUUAAUGCACUUUUCGUUUAACAAGUCAACAUCAGUUUCUUUUGUCGUAAAAGGGUCAUUGGAAGGUGGCUUUCUUUUCGGAGAAAGUGUUUAUAGCCUUUGGCCUCUGCAAUCGAAGAGACUGAGGUCUGCAGCGUAGACUCUUCGGGGUUAGAUACAUUUGUGCUAAGUUAUAGCUUUUUAUAGACAACUUGUUGACUAUAAUUAGCCUUGUAGCUUACUCGCUUAUGCUAUUUUACCUACGCUUAGGAUG
This 1373-nucleotide unclassified non-coding RNA is filed under the name uncultured Neocallimastigales. RNAcentral describes it as "partial contains internal transcribed spacer 1, 5.8S ribosomal RNA, internal transcribed spacer 2, and large subunit ribosomal RNA". The stretch from base 599 to 1373 matches the Rfam family "Eukaryotic large subunit ribosomal RNA", at positions 1 to 628 of the family's 3401-position model. Lineage: Eukaryota; Fungi; Neocallimastigomycota; Neocallimastigomycetes; Neocallimastigales. The record is from RNAcentral.